Molecule: ribosomal RNA, 24 nt
Filed under: Xerocomellus sp. 'atropurpureus'
Lineage: Eukaryota; Fungi; Basidiomycota; Agaricomycetes; Boletales; Boletaceae
Description: partial 28S ribosomal RNA
Source: RNAcentral
GACUGACCUCAAAUCAGGUAGGAC